This 531-nucleotide ribosomal RNA is filed under the name Mesonia sp. RNAcentral describes it as "bacterial SSU rRNA". It matches the Rfam family "Bacterial small subunit ribosomal RNA", at positions 376 to 905 of the family's 1533-position model. The record is from RNAcentral. Lineage: Bacteria; Pseudomonadati; Bacteroidota; Flavobacteriia; Flavobacteriales; Flavobacteriaceae.
GAGCACUCUGAUCCAGCCAUGCCGCGUGCAGGAAGACUGCCCUAUGGGUUGUAAACUGCUUUUAUAGAGGAAGAAACCUCCCUACGUGUAGGGAGCUGACGGUACUCUACGAAUAAGGAUCGGCUAACUCCGUGCCAGCAGCCGCGGUAAUACGGAGGAUCCAAGCGUUAUCCGGAAUCAUUGGGUUUAAAGGGUCCGUAGGCGGGCAGUUAAGUCAGUGGUGAAAGUCUUCCGCUCAACGGGAGAAUUGCCAUUGAUACUGAUUGUCUUGAGUCAUUAUGAAGUGGUUAGAAUGAGUAGUGUAGCGGUGAAAUGCAUAGAUAUUACUCAGAAUACCGAUNGCGAAGGCAGAUCACUAAUAAUGUACUGACGCUGAUGGACGAAAGCGUAGGUAGCGAACAGGAUUAGAUACCCUGGUAGUCUACGCCGUAAACGAUGGUUACUAGCUGUUUGGACGAUUGAGUCUGAGUGGCUAAGCGAAAGUGAUAAGUAACCCACCUGGGGAGUACGUUCGCAAGAAUGAAACUCAAA